CUUUGACAUCAGCACAGCUUUGAAAGGGGGAUGGGAGAGCGAGCAGAAAGCAGAAAAACCAGCUUUGAACUAUGCAUGCAAGGCCUCUUUCAAGCCUCAAAUUCUAUAAGGACGGCUUGAGCCAGGGCAGUUCAGGAAACACUUGAGGAGCAGAGGCAGCAGGGCGCUGGACCAGACAGAGGACGGGAAUGUCCAAGAAGUGGUCUCUGUGUGCGGUAAUGAGCCGAGAUUACAGCUGGCAGCUGGAAACUAAACCCCAUGGGUGCCACCCAGAGAGAGCUGAGACUGACCAUGGAGUAACGGCCAAGGUCAUGUGUGUAGCCCCGGGCCAUGGAGAGGGGGUACCCUGGAGGGGCUGGGCUGGCUGGCUGGGCUCAGGCUGUCUGACAGGCAACGGGCUCCCCAGUGUUCUGAAGAGGGAGUGGCCCUGGUGGUAACUCUCUGUGGCUUAGAGGGGCUGAAGCUAGAACACCGCUGUGACUCCGGGCCCGCUGGUUCCCUGAGGGCAAGGGCCACCUUGGGUCAUCGCUCUGAACACCUUCCCCUUGCUCUGAGAAGCACAGAUGGCCAGUGUGAACUGCCUCAGCAAUCCAGGGACUGUGUCCUCUCAUUAAGAUAUCAUGGCAAAUCACGAGAAGACACAAAAAUCAAAACAUGCAAGAGAAGAAAAGACUAAUGAAAGCAGAGAUUCCCUGCGCGGCUCUUUCUAAGCUGACUAGAAGAGCAGCAGGCACUCCGAUAACUUCCGCACAGUCCAUUUUUAUUAUUCUUCAACUAACAGGAGCUCCAUUUCAAGAUAACCAAGUAUCUCUGGUUGGUAAGAAAAAUCACUGCUUUCAGAAGAACGUUAGAGUAAAUGUUGAAUUCGCUAGUGAAACUGAAACUACUGACUCAGGACUCAUAUCUGGGAAAACAUACUGUUACAAUUCAACAAGAAGAAGACAACCAACUUAAAAAAAGACAUCUCAUCAAAGAAGAGAGACAAAUGGCUAACAGGCAUAUGAAAAGAUGCUUAAAAUUUCCAGUCAUUGGGGAAAGGCCAAUGGAAACCACAGUGAGACACCAUUACACACCCACAAGAAUUAAGCUAUAAUCGAAAAGACAAUAAUAGAUAUUGGCAAGAAUGUGGCCACAUCAGAGCCCUCAUACAUUGUUGGUGGAAAUGUAAA
This 1169-nucleotide long non-coding RNA is filed under the name Homo sapiens (human). RNAcentral describes it as "non-protein coding lnc-HSP90AA1-15:5". Lineage: Eukaryota; Metazoa; Chordata; Mammalia; Primates; Hominidae. The record is from RNAcentral.